This is a long non-coding RNA of Leptidea sinapis, 1415 nucleotides long. RefSeq lists it as uncharacterized. The transcript is spliced from 6 exons. NCBI's taxonomy places the organism in Eukaryota, Metazoa, Arthropoda, Insecta, Lepidoptera, Pieridae. The record is from RefSeq and is a predicted model, not a curated record.
UACGGGCUUUGGGCGCUGAUGCUGUAAUCCUGUCACCUAUUUUGGCCCGGAGUACAGACUGCUCACAGCCUGGGACUCUACAUUUUACAGAGAUCGACUCUAGAUAUGGCAACGAAGAGUCAUUUAACAAUUUGGUCCAAAAAGCGAAGAAACUAGAAUUGAAACUGCUGGUAACAUUGCCACUUCAAACAGUCAGCAUCACAUCAGAUUGGUUUAACUUGAGCGCUAACAGAACCACUGGCUUUGAAGAUUUUGUGCAUUGGAGAGACGGUAACAAGAAUGAUCCCCCGCUGGUGGACGAUAAUAUAGGAACCUGGGUUUGGGACGACAAACGUAAUGGAUAUUACAGAUCACUGAACAAUGCUAGCUUCUUGAACUUGUGCUCAGAAACAAUAGCGGCGGCUUUCAAAACCAUUAUGUGCUACUGGACAAAGCUUGAUGUGGCCGGGUUUCUCCUGAAGCCCGACUAUCCGAUUAGUUAUGAGUGCGGGAUUGAGCUGGUUCAAAGAAUAUCGGUUCAUGCUGCAAGUUGUUCUCGAGAUGCAAAUGGAGAUACUCCCAUUAUCUUAGUCGAUACAAAAGCGAAUAUAUCAGUAGCGAUGCGGUACUACGGCGAGGGGUCACCAGGUGCCAACAGCGUAAUAAGUAACGCUCUAACAUCGUCCUCGAGGAAAACCGCACCAGAUUUAGCGCUGGACAUACAUGCCGCUCUCUUGUACGGUCCACAAGAUACAACUCCCGCUUGGCUGACAAGUUCGCAUGAAGAUAGCCGAAUUGUGAGUAGACUUGGAAGUGACAUGGUGGAUGCUAUCAACAUGCUAUCCCUGAUCCUGCCUGGAGCAACCAUCAUACAGCAAGGGGACGAAUUAGCAGCUGCAGACACCCUCUUAGAAUGGGCUACUCAGACCAAAUGCUGGCCAAAUCCUAUGAUACCUUCUGCUGCGCCGUUUCCCUGGGAUGACUCAGUCAGUGGCGGCUUCACGACUGCUGAAGCCUGGGUUCCACUCGCGCCCAACUAUAGAUAUGCAAAUGCUAAGACGGAGUAUGGGAAUGAGUUGAGUCACCUUGGAGUUGUGAGGGUGUUGGCAGAUACUAAGAAAAAUACGGUGGGCUUCCAUACGGAGAUAAAAAGGUUGAAUGACGUAUUAGCAGUACUAAGAUGGGGCGGGCCGGCUUCUGUAAUUGUCGUCUCCAACAUUGGGCCAAAAAGCUCAGAAAGUCAACUAUGAAUGAUACCAGGUCUGCCUGGAGACAUGACUGUUGCUGCCACUUCAAGCGGAUCACGAUUCUCGCCAGGGGUUCAUAUCAAUGUGGAGAAGACUUUGAAGCUAUCGCCAGGGGAGACGGUACUUCUUGUUGGUGCUCCAAGACAUUGUGGUGGUCCCGGGCCAGUUGACAAGAUUGCUAGCAAACUG